CUCAGUUUUCUCACUCUAAAACUGGAAACUUCAUUUCUCAUUUAUAAGCAGGUUCCAACAUUCCUCUCUUCUUUUGUCUCUGAUGCUCAAACUAAUUGGGUAACUGUUAACAUGGUUUUUCUUGCUUCACAGUUCAAUUUCAAUUUGUGCUUAUUUAUGGACAAAAUUCAAUGUUGGAAACUUUUUUUCAAGAUUUUAUUUCAUAUCUUUUUUUUCUGUUUGUUUGGUUUGAUUUUGGCACCACCAAAUGGUGUCUUGUGAGCAUUGUGGGUUUGUUCUUUGUUUGUUGAUUUGUUUGUUUUUCUUGCAGAUACUGUACAGUAAUGGUCAACUUUGCCACUUGCACUGAGUUUUGGGUCAAACUUAUUUUCUUAAAUGAAGUUGUAACUUCAUAUAACUCAAGUAUACUGUAUUUCUUUGCUUUUAGUUAAGAAGUAAAACAUUUUAGCUAAUUAAAAAGCACUCAGGUGAUAAUUAUGUAGGAAAAACAAUCUUGCCAAAUAAUGAAUUCAUCCUAGGAUGUGUAAACAAUAAUCUGCUUGAAUAUUUUUAUAUUUCACCUCCUCCCCACCUUUCCCUAAGUAAAGUGUAACUGCAGAUAGAGUUCAGAACUGCUGGAUGUUCAGAUUCCUAAGUGGGGAGAGAGUUUGGACACCUUGUUGAAAAGUCCAUCAAAACAGCAGGAAUCUAUGAUUUUGUACCAGAACUCAGCAGGCAUUGGCUCCUAGAAAUCAAGGUAGAGCUGUUUUCUUGCCCAGGGAGAACAUCCCAUUCAUUUCCACACUUCAUCAGGCCUCAGCUUGCUCUUAGAAGUGUUACACAGUAGGCCUUCUCCUUUGAAGGAUAUGGCUGACCAGCCACCCCACUUUCCUGCCCAGGACUGACCUCCCAGGGCACCUCACCUGAGGGGAUGUGAGCUGCAGCCUGAAGGUCCCGCCUUUCUGGGGCAGCUCCUAUAUUGAUGCACCUCACUGAAAGUAUGAGAGAGCAGGGAAGAUUGGAGCCUGAGAUCCAUCCCUGACACAGGCGAACACGUUUCUUUCUCCUUUUCUUUUCCAAAUGCUUUGAGUUGUACUCUGAGGUUUUUCUGUGGGUCUCUUGUCUGUAGGCAGCUUCAUACAGAGGCUUUGGACAAGAUAUCAGCAGGAGCCCUCUCUACCCUCUUCACACAGACACACACACAGAUGCAGACACACACACAGAUGCAGACACACACAGACACACACACCUUACCCUCACCUGAUGAUAAUUUUCUUCUCUUGCUGCAAAAGUGGUUGCUUGCAACCCAGAGAGAGCAGCUUCCCUGGGCUCUCAGGUUGUUGUGGCCCUUGGCCAUGUUUACAGGAAGGUGUGUCACAAGGAGGAGGAAUCAGCUCCCUCCUUCCUGUGGUCCCUGUCUCCUCUUGAGGAGUAGCCCGAGGGCCACUCCCACCUGGCUGAGCAAGAGAGUCCAGAACAGUUUGAUGUGGGGCUGGGGUGGUGGGCAGUGGGGAAUAGAUGGUUGACUUUGUUUCUUUAUUUGUGCCAUUGUUUGGACAAUAUUAAAGCUGCAUGUGAAUGAAAAAAUUAGUAUAUGAUUAGUAGGCAAAAGGUGAAAUCAUAGUAACAUAUGUUUUAGUAUUAACUUUUUUCUGUACAAAUAUUAGCAGUAAAUGUUUAAAUAUGUAUGAAUGUCAGAAGUUUGUUGGUUCAUGCAGUAGGAUGGGAAAAAGGGUUUUCUUUUAAAAUAGUUCCACUUCUAAAACCUGCCUCUGGGUUUCCAUUUUUUCCUUGUGUGUGUGUAUGUGUGUGUGGUUGUCAGAGACAGAUUUUGAUGAAGCUCUGUGAGAGCUACUGUUUUUGUUUUUGGAAUUCUUAGCCUAGUAGAACAGUUCUGUGCUUCACUAAGGAGGUUCGCCUUUGUGGGAAACUGGUGACAACUAGAAUUUUAACUCAAUGUAAAUCAUGUGAUACUUCCCAGGUAUGUGUUGUGGUGGAGGAGUCAGCAGACAGUAUUUUGUUCUUUAACUCUCUUGUUGCCUUUUUAAAUGACCUCUCCUCUUCUUUAAAAAACAAAAGGAAUGUUUUCUGCUUGUAUCAUAACCAGGUGCAGAUCAGCUUCUUGGUUUGAUUUAUCCUGGUGGCAACUCAUGUGCAACUUGUAGUCUUGACCACAUUCCAUCCAUUUCCCCAGAUUUCUGUUGUUCUACAACCCAGAACUAUGUGGCAGCCAUUUCCAGGAGGGGAGGGGUCUCUUUAUUUCUCCCCACCCUAACUCAGCCCCCUUCUUCCUCCCACCAGCCUCUGCCUUUUUUUCUCUCUUUCCCCUUCCAACCCCUGCCAUGGAAACUGGCCUUUUUAAAAAGAAAAUUGCUCUAAAGGCUGUAGUUCUAUUUCUUAGAUAUUUUUAAAAAGUUAUUUCAUUCAUUAUCCACCAAGAACAGUGACCAGCUUUGUGUAAUUGUUCAUAUGACAUGUCUAUGUCUUUCUCUAUUCUGAAUCAUUGAUUGUCAAAAUUAUUUCUGGGCUGAUUGAAAGGAGGACUUGCUGGGGACCAGAAUCCAAACUGCCUCAAGUGAAAUUUAAAAACUCAAUCUGUUUCUUCUCCCUGGGAUCCCUUAGUCAACCUCAUUCCUUUUUUCUGGAGGAGAGGAGGUGGUUGCGACAGGGUCUUGCUAUGUAGACUAGGCUGGUUUUGAACUCACUAUGUAGUCCAGGCUGCCCUCAAACUCAUAGUGAUCCUCCAGCCUCAGCCUCCCAAGUGCUGUGUUUGCAGGAGUAUACCACCACACCUGGCAACCUCAUGCCUUUUGUAAAGAGGAAAAGUAAACAAAGAACAAGAAAUAAAGGACACUCCAGUCAUGGGCUGUUUAGGAGGAUCACUCUGACAACCUGGUUGGGUCUCCAAAUGGGUAGGGUAGGAAUAGUUGUUGGGUCGGGGCCAGUGCAGGCAACCCUGACCCUAAUUAACAUCCCACCUGAAUCUGGUUCUCCCCUGGGUCUGCCUUUGUUCUCCUUGUGUCUCCAGACAACCUCCGUUCAUUCAGAUUAGUCAGGCUGUGGGCAGGCGAGUGCUUUGCUAUAUGUGUUUGUUACUCUGCGUUAUUUGGGGGUGCCUUGAAUAAAAUCGAACUUCAUUACAUACUGAUUCUGGAACAAAACAGUUACAAAACUGUAAAAACUGGCAAAGUUGCUCGGCCAUCCUGCUACUUCUCUUCCGGGUUCUUCAAGAAUGACUCAGGCGUCAGAGGUGAUGCUGCCGUAGAAAACGUUAUUGUGUAUGUUGUACAAGUAAUUUAUUGACUGUCUUUCUAAAGGUAUGCUGCUUUUUAAAAUGCACUAUAAUUUUGGAUGUAAUCCUUGUAUUGCUUUUCCAAGGAUGUAAAAAGAAAGGCUAAGGACUUAGUAUGCCAACUGUCACUUCUCCUUAAAAAGGAGCUCGGGGACAGCUAUAGCACUUGCAUGAGUGAACUGGCUAAAACCUAUACUUCCUUUUAAUAUUUUGUGAUUUCCAUUAAAGAAGAAGAAAAAAAAGAAGUAUUUUUAAAUUGUAGGCCUUUUAAAAAACCUUAAUAUACCCCAGGAAGCUGCUCUGCAUCCUGUAGAGUAGCAUAAUCAUUUCAGAAUGAAUAGAGUCCUACAAACCUUUUUCAGAUCCCUAUUUGGCUACCUUUUUCUGCACAUUGUGCCCCUCUUGAACUCAGAGUUGUUUUAUAAAUGACUUCAAACUACUUACUGUUGCUUACAGUUUAGGAGGAAACACAAAUCUGGAAGGGAGCAAGAAUCAAAUUUUUCCUUAAAUUACUGAAAAUAGACUAAAGAACAAGAUUUGUUUUUCAAGUAUAAAGUUGCUCAUUGUAUCAUGAGUUAGUAUUUCUCCCCAAAAUUGAGGAUUUUUCUGUAGGUUCAAUUUCUGGAGAGUCAGUGCACAAUACAGAGUCCUGUGUGGAGUUGGUUUUCAUAAAGGAAGUCUGUGUGUAUGGAGGCAUUUUGUUUCCAAAGUGUAUGUUUAUAACACUGCCCAAGCCAUCUCAUGACACAGGCAUCAGAGACUGAUGCUGCAGAAUAGAAUACAUUUGUACACAAAUAGCAUGUUCAAAUGGUAUUUGUACAUAGAGAAGACUUAUUGUGGCAGAUCAAGAAUAAAUUAUUUAACUGACAGUGCAAAAACAUUACUUGCAAAAAAAAGUAAUUGUAUAGUAUUUUCCUAUACUCCACCCUGGGAGAUAAUAUUUAUAUCAAUGAAUAUCAGUGCAUUUUAAUUGUAAUAUGAAAAUUAUGCUGCCAUUUUGUGAAGAAUACCCACUUGGUUGCAGAGGCCAAUUUUUGUAGUUUUGAUUUAAUGUUCUGAUAUGAUGUGUACAUUUACAAGCAAUGGAUAAACAGCUCUGACUUUCAUUUUCAUUCCAGUUACUUGACAUCAGAUAAAACAGUGGCCCUUAUAAAAGCAGAAGUGCACCAAGACCAUUUCAGGUAGAGUCACAUUCAGUGCCAAAUGCUCCCAUGGGGACAGUCAGACAUAUUUAUCAGGAAAGAGUGAAGGGACUUGGAUAAAGAGGGGUUUUCCUACAGAUCAAUGUUAAGUCUUCUACCAAAACGUGUCUGGAGGCAGAAGGGUGGCUACCACUUGAGUCCUAACAAAGCAUUUUGGGUGUGCAAAUGCUGGCAUGACUGUUCACACUCUACAAGAACCUGGCACUUCUAGUGAGUUAUCAGGAAGACUGCAGAUGCAUUUGGGAGCUUCAGGUGCUUGUUAGACACAGUGAGCCAUUGAAGGCAAGAGGGCUUGUGAGAAUUUGUUCCAGAACCAGUCUAAUCCAAGUGCACCUCUGAUAUAUGCCUUACAAACUCCAGAGGCCAUACUCAAAACAGGGUCUUCUCAGUGUAUGCAAGGGGCUGCAGCCCCUCUUCUCUUCCUCCCCAGGUUGAACAAUACGGACAGUUUUCACACAUAUCUACCUGUAUAACCCUCUGUACCUCUCAUAACUGGUCAACGACUGUAACAGGUUACAUCAGGUGUUUUUCUACAUACUUUUUACACAGAUUCUAUGCGAUUAAUGUAACUUAAUUCAAUGCAUCAUUUUAUUGUACUAGUUCUUAGGCUUGUCCUUAUUUUUUUUCUAAGUGAUUGUGGUUUUUCUUGUGGUUUUUAUUGUAAAGAUGAAAUGGCUGUUGAUGCUUAUUCUCUGUAACUAAGAAUUUUUACCUUUUUGGGAAAAAAAGCAUUGCUAUGAACUAAUGAAACUUCAUUUACUCAUUGUAAAUACACUAUUGUGCAAAAAAAAUUUUCACUCAGUUGAAUUGCUAGUGUUAACUGAAUUUUGUCUAGACACCAUUUCUGUUGAUGAAAUAAAGACAUAUCAUUAUGCAUUGUAAAUUGAUUUUCUCUGCCUCUGAUCCCUGCAUUUCAGAUUAGAAAAAUGGAAAGCCUCAAAAAAUCUUUUUUCCUCAAAAGGCCAUUUUCCUUCUCUAGUUUGGAACCUAUCUUGAU
RNAcentral lists this long non-coding RNA (5470 nucleotides) under Heterocephalus glaber (naked mole-rat). RNAcentral's name for it is "lncRNA (ENSHGLG00100051017.1)". The record is from RNAcentral. Lineage: Eukaryota; Metazoa; Chordata; Mammalia; Rodentia; Bathyergidae.